Molecule: long non-coding RNA, 254 nt
Filed under: Elaeis guineensis (African oil palm)
Lineage: Eukaryota; Viridiplantae; Streptophyta; Magnoliopsida; Arecales; Arecaceae
Description: long non-coding RNA (EGUI_LNC060380)
Source: RNAcentral
UUAUGAACUGGUAGCCUCAACCUCUAAUUCGAAGAAUUACUUUAAUUCCUUAGUGGGUACUAGAAUCCACACAGACUACACACGAGCCCAACUUUGGUUGGUCAACCCAUGUGCAUCUAUGGGUAGGUUCAUAACCAGUUAUUUUUCUAAACAACUUCUAGUAAUUGAUUUUGCCCCAGAACCUAAUCUGUAGGCUUUGGCCUCCACUGAAAAAAUCUGGUUAGGUCCAACCAUUAACAUGAUUUGAUUUGAUG